Molecule: ribosomal RNA, 111 nt
Filed under: Peribacillus asahii
Lineage: Bacteria; Bacillati; Bacillota; Bacilli; Caryophanales; Bacillaceae
Source: RNAcentral
UGGUGACGAUAGCGAAGAGGUCACACCCGUUCCCAUUCCGAACACGGAAGUUAAGCUCUUCAGCGCCGAUGGUAGUUGGGGGUUUCCCCCUGUGAGAGUAGGACGUCGUCA